This 253-nucleotide ribosomal RNA is filed under the name uncultured bacterium. Its description in RNAcentral is "partial 16S ribosomal RNA". It matches the Rfam family "Bacterial small subunit ribosomal RNA", at positions 524 to 776 of the family's 1533-position model. The record is from RNAcentral.
UACGGGGGGGGCAAGCGUUGUUCGGAAUUACUGGGCGUAAAGGGUUUGUAGGUGGCUUGUUAAGUCAGACGUGAAAUCCCUCAGCUUAACUGGGGAACUGCGUCUGAUACUGGCGAGCUUGAGUGCAGGAGAGGAACGCGGAAUUCCAGGUGUAGCGGUGAAAUGCGUAGAUAUCUGGAGGAACACCUAUUGCGAAGGCAGCUCGCUGGGACGUAACUGACGCUGAGGCACGAAAGUGUGGGGAUCAAACAGG